AAUUUAGGAAGAAUUAACGGCAGCCAGACGCCCUUGCCUGCACCAUCGCCGUCGCCUCCGCCUCCGCCUCCCCCUCCCCGUCCGCCUCCUCCUCCCCCUCCCCUGGCCUGCAGCGUCGCCAUCGCCAACUGACAAAGGAGCAGCCUGGAGUCCAUCCGGCAGUUAGACAACCGGGACGCGAGGCGACGAAACGCGGCUGCAGAUACAAAAAGGAAGCACAGGUGCACAGUUUUAGUUCUCUUGCUUUUUUUGAUCGUAAAGCUUUCUAGAGCUUAAAUAGCACUACUCGUGUUCCAUCUUACCAAGAAUAGAAAGAAUUCUGCAAGGAACAAACAUGCCUAUAGGCUAAUCAAUACUGAUGCAUCACGAACAAACAUGCCUAUAGGCUAAUCAAUACUGCUGCAGCACGAACAAUCUGCUGAUUUUGCGCGUAGCUGGUGCUGCUGAUCUUACCAAGAACAGAAAGAAUUCUCCAAGGAACAAACAUGCCUAUAGGCUAAGAUCACUGAAUUUCUUUACAGAGGGAGUACAGAAUAUUAAAUCCCAACAGCGAAAAAAAUGUUCUGAAAUACUUAUUAUGGCAUUUAUAUAGAAUAACUUAAUUCGAUACUUGCAGCGGUGCAUACUGCAAUAGAGGCAACAAAAAAGGAGAUAUCAAGGAAACACUAAUGUAAGAUUACGUGUGCAAUAACAUUUGGGAUAAUUUAUUAUGCCGAUAUAUGAUUCCCCUGCAACUGCACAACAACAAUAGAGGUUUAUUAUCCUGGGUAAAAAAGUACAAACCAGGAUCAAGUCUCCACCAAGUUUAGUCACAUAUCCAAAGAACUGGUUCUACAUAGAUACAAUAUAUAAACAAUGUAGGCUCUCCAAAUGACAUGUACUUGACUCUAAGAAGGGAAUAAAAUAUCAUAGAAUAUAAUGUACGUAUUUUGUUCUAGCUCGGCACCAAUACUUUUGACUUAAAAAGAAUCAUAGCAAUUGCCUACAUAUAGUAUGACAGAACAUAAAUCUGUCCUAAAAUGGUACCAUGAUUCCAACGAAUGCAAAAUGAACCUGUUAACUGACAUUUUAAUAUGGUUUGAAAAUUAUUCAAUGGAAUAAGGAUAAGUUAAUCGUAAAUCCCAUAAAAAAUUCAAAAGUGAAUUAACAUGCAAGAUAGGUUUGUCCAUCGCACUGUUGGUGAUCACCCUGACUCGAGCAUGCUAGAUUGGUGUAGACUCACUCUUGAGCAUACAAAAAUUGCAUUCAAUUUCAUUAAGGACAUACGUGAUUAAUGGAGGAUCAAGUACUCACCACUAUGUUUUUUUGGGCAUGACCAACAUGGAAGGAAAAUAGCAUUGCUAUCGAGGAUCAAAUAUUAGCAAUGUAAGCCGCAAAUUCCAGGAAGAGAAGAAGAAUUCGGUGAACCCCACAGAAUAUAUACUAAUUCUCAGAGAUAGUAAAUUCGAAUUUCUGCAACCUGCCAAAUUUAAUUAUUUAAGCAUGAGGUCACAAUCAAAAAAAUGAUGCUACUCAAUUAAAAAGAUUAAAUUCAGAAUUGUGAGACUAUAAUGCACAUAAUAAGCAGUACUGAAACUCAAACUGAAUAUUUUUUUAAAGAAAACGGGAGAUGUUAAAAUCAUAUGCAGAAAACAAUAACUUGAAAGGUUAAACUCAUGAAAUUGAACUAUAUAUACAUUCAGACUCCAAGAAUAGUAAAUAAAUUGCACUGGAUAUAUAGUACAGACCUCACAUUAAAAGACGAGUGUUGAUCUGCAGAGUAUGUUACACUCAGUAUAGGCUUUGUUUUGGCUGCAUCUCUGUUAGCAAGUGUUGCAGACCCAAGAUCAAGUGUUACAGAAAUAAUUUCUCAUGUCAUACCAGUGCCUUCUCUAACUAAAGCAAUCACACCUGGAAAAACUUUAGCAGUCAGCAUGUUUGUUUGUGGUUACACUGAACAUACAGAAACGGUAGGCAUAAAAAUCUCCCUUGAAAGAAUUUUCUAAGGAACAAACAUGCCUAUAGGCUAAGUAAUGUCAGGCAUGAAAAUAUCCAAGUGUAUGCAGCUAGAGUGACCAUAAAAGAGAUGAUAUUAUUAAACAGUGGAUGCCCAAUCCAAAAACUUCAGAACUGUCAAUAUGCACGAGUUGACAUGAUAAGUAUUAGCUUUGGGGUGGGAUAAGUGUUAGCAAGAAAAUUUGUGGCAUGAUUAAUUGCAUGUUGUUUAUGGU
This 2210-nucleotide long non-coding RNA is filed under the name Hordeum vulgare. RNAcentral describes it as "long non-coding RNA (HVUL_LNC006828)". Lineage: Eukaryota; Viridiplantae; Streptophyta; Magnoliopsida; Poales; Poaceae. The record is from RNAcentral.